RNAcentral lists this small RNA (24 nucleotides) under Arabidopsis thaliana (thale cress). Its description in RNAcentral is "ATSL026050". The record is from RNAcentral. Lineage: Eukaryota; Viridiplantae; Streptophyta; Magnoliopsida; Brassicales; Brassicaceae.
UCUCCUCCUCCUCCUCAUUCUCCU